This 433-nucleotide ribosomal RNA is filed under the name uncultured bacterium. RNAcentral describes it as "partial 16S ribosomal RNA". It matches the Rfam family "Bacterial small subunit ribosomal RNA", at positions 29 to 507 of the family's 1533-position model. The record is from RNAcentral.
AACGAACGCUGGCGGCAUGCCUAACACAUGCAAGUCGAACGAGACCUUCGGGUCUAGUGGCGCACGGGUGCGUAACGCGUGGGAACCUGCCCUUAGGUUCGGAAUAACUCCCCGAAAGGGGUGCUAAUACCGGAUAAUGUCUUCGGACCAAAGCUUUAUCGCAUUUGGAUGGGCCCGCGUUGGAUUAGCUAGUUGGUAGGGUAAAAGCCUACCAAGGCGACGAUCCAUAGCUGGUCUGAGAGGAUGAUCAGCCACACUGGGACUGAGACACGGCCCAGACUCCUACGGGAGGCAGCAGUGGGGAAUAUUGGACAAUGGGCGAAAGCCUGAUGCAGCAAUGCCGCGUGAGUGAUGAAGGCCUUAGGGUUGUAAAGCUCUUUUACCCGGGAGGAUAAUGACAGUACCGGGAGAAUAAGCUCCGGCUAACUCCGUG